AAGGAUUUAAGUUAAACCCUUAAACUACCAACCUUCAAAGCUGGAAAUAGAUAAGUGAAUCUAAGCCUUA
This 70-nucleotide transfer RNA is filed under the name Melyridae sp. 'Dasytidae' GENSP01. RNAcentral's name for it is "tRNA-Trp". Lineage: Eukaryota; Metazoa; Arthropoda; Insecta; Coleoptera; Melyridae. The record is from RNAcentral.